This 75-nucleotide transfer RNA is filed under the name Thermodesulfobium narugense. Its description in RNAcentral is "tRNA-Val". It matches the Rfam family "tRNA". From Rfam's summary of the family: Transfer RNA (tRNA) molecules are approximately 80 nucleotides in length. Lineage: Bacteria; Pseudomonadati; Thermodesulfobiota; Thermodesulfobiia; Thermodesulfobiales; Thermodesulfobiaceae. RNAcentral also lists the same sequence under 4 other names. The record is from RNAcentral.
GGGCGGAUAGCUCAGAGGUAGAGCACUUGCUUCACACGCAAGGGGUCGUAGGUUCGAUUCCUACUUCGCCCACCA